CAAAGUUCGUUCGGGUUUUUCCUUAGUAUGUUACGGAAAAACCCGAACAAACUUUGU
This is a microRNA precursor of Bos indicus x Bos taurus (hybrid cattle), 57 nucleotides long. The record is from Ensembl. NCBI's taxonomy places the organism in Eukaryota, Metazoa, Chordata, Mammalia, Artiodactyla, Bovidae.